RNAcentral lists this ribosomal RNA (1037 nucleotides) under Camallanus kaapstaadi. RNAcentral's name for it is "LSU rRNA". It matches the Rfam family "Eukaryotic large subunit ribosomal RNA", at positions 36 to 781 of the family's 3401-position model. The record is from RNAcentral. Lineage: Eukaryota; Metazoa; Nematoda; Chromadorea; Rhabditida; Camallanidae.
UAGCAUAUAAUUAAGCGGAGGAAAAGAAACUAACGAGGAUUCCCCUAGUAACGGCGAGUGAAUGGGGAAAAGCCCAGCGCUAAAUCCUCUAGCUAAUGGCUAGUUGGAAAUGUAGCGUAUAGGUUUGAUCAAAUUUUGGUCGUACACUACAUAAAAUCCUAAGUUUACCUUGAACGGGACCACGAUCCAUAGAAGGUGUCAGACCUGUACGGAUUAUGUUUGUGUACGAUUGAUCAUACUUUAGAGUCGGGUUGCCUGAGAUCGCAGCCCAAAUUGGGUGGUAGACUUCAUCUAAGGCUAAAUAUGGCCACGAGACCGAUAGCAAACAAGUACCGUGAGGGAAAGUUGCAAAGAACUUUGAAGAGAGAGUUCAAGAGGGCGUGAAACCGCUGAGAAUGAAGCGGAUAGAGUCGACGAAACUUAAUCAGUAUUCAACCAACACGUUAAACGGCUUCACGUACGUGACGUCAUGUUAUGCAAAUUUCGUGGCGUUCAUCGUACGCGCUAACUGUAUGAUGUAAAUGUUGGCGUAUUUGCUGAUUGUAUGCAUUGAGAGCUUCGUAUUCGCGCACGAGGAAACUCAACCAAUAGAGGCUUGUCGAUUAGCUAGAGCUUCAACUCUCUUCCGCUACUCGACAAUAACCUAUUGAGAGUUGAUUGCGUGUCGCAUAUGAAGUUUGCGAAUAACGCGCGCAAUUAAUAACCAUCAACUAUUAUUGUUGUAUGCGUUAUUCAAGCGCUCUCCUCUUAUCAUUUUUAAGUGAAUUUAUGCGAUUUAUUUCAUGCGUAUCUUUAUGGUACGUGGGAACGUCGCAUAAAUUUUCAUUUAUUAUUUGAGGAUGCAUUAAUAGCGAUAAAAAAUAAUUGCGUAUCUUGAUGUGAACGUCGAUCACCUAUCCGACCCGUCUUGAAACACGGACCAAGGAGUCUAGCGUAUACGCAAGUCAUUGGGUGUGCGAAUACCUAAAGGCGUAAUGAAAGUGAAUAUCGUAUGUGUAUUUUAUAUAUAUGCGAUUAUUAUGCGAUUUGUGAUGUCU